UUGAGGAAGAUAAUGACGGUACUCAACAAGGAAGUGACGGCUAACUACGUGCCAGCAGCCGCGGUAAAACGUAGGUCACAAGCGUUGUCCGGAAUUACUGGGUGUAAAGGGAGCGCAGGCGGGAGAACAAGUUGGAAGUGAAAUCCAUGGGCUCAACCCAUGAACUGCUUUCAAAACUGUUUUUCUUGAGUAGUGCAGAGGUAGGCGGAAUUCCCGGUGUAGCGGUGGAAUGCGUAGAUAUCGGGAGGAACACCAGUGGCGAAGGCGGCCUACUGGGCACCAACUGACGCUGAGGCUCGAAAGUGUGGGUAGCAAACAGGAUUAGAUACCCUGGUAGUCCACACCGUAAACGAUGAUUACUAGGUGUUGGAGGAUUGACCCCUUCAGUGCCGCAGUUAACACAAUAAGUAAUCCACCUGGGGAGUACGACCGCAAGGUUGAAACUCAAAGGAAUUGACGGGGGCCCGCACAAGCAGUGGAGUAUGUGGUUUAAUUCGACGCAACGCGAAGAACCUUACCAAGUCUUGACAUCCCUUGACGAUGCUGGAAACAGUAUUUCUCUUCGGAGCAAGGAGACAGGUGGUGCAUGGUUGUCGUCAGCUCGUGUCGUGAGAUGUUGGGUUAAGUCCCGCAACGAGCGCAACCCUUAUGGUCAGUUACUACGCAAGAGGACUCUGGCCGGACUGC
Molecule: ribosomal RNA, 687 nt
Filed under: Faecalibacterium prausnitzii
Lineage: Bacteria; Bacillati; Bacillota; Clostridia; Eubacteriales; Oscillospiraceae
Description: bacterial SSU rRNA
Rfam family: Bacterial small subunit ribosomal RNA
Source: RNAcentral